RNAcentral lists this transfer RNA (71 nucleotides) under Proechimys echinothrix. RNAcentral's name for it is "tRNA-Tyr". It matches the Rfam family "tRNA". From Rfam's summary of the family: Transfer RNA (tRNA) molecules are approximately 80 nucleotides in length. Their secondary structure includes four short double-helical elements and three loops (D, anti-codon, and T loops). The record is from RNAcentral. Lineage: Eukaryota; Metazoa; Chordata; Mammalia; Rodentia; Echimyidae.
GGUAGGAUGGCUGAAUAAAUAAGCAUUAGACUGUAAAUCUAAAGAUAAAGGUUGUACUCCUUUUUCUACCA